CCUACGGGAGGCAGCAGUGGGGAAUUUUGGACAAUGGGCGAAAGCCUGAUCCAGCAAUGCCGCGUGAGUGAAGAAGGCCUUCGGGUUGUAAAGCUCUUUUGUCAGGGAAGAAACGGUGAGGGCUAAUAUCCCUUGCUAAUGACGGUACCUGAAGAAUAAGCACCGGCUAACUACGUGCCAGCAGCCGCGGUAAUACGUAGGGUGCAAGCGUUAAUCGGAAUUACUGGGCGUAAAGCGUGCGCAGGCGGUUUUGUAAGUCUGUCGUGAAAUCCCCGGGCUCAACCUGGGAAUUGCGAUGGAGACUGCAAGGCUAGAAUCUGGCAGAGGGGGGUAGAAUUCCACGUGUAGCAGUGAAAUGCGUAGAGAUGUGGAGGAACACCGAUGGCGAAGGCAGCCCCCUGGGUCAAGAUUGACGCUCAUGCACGAAAGCGUGGGGAGCAAACAGGAUUAGAUACCCUGGUAGUCCACGCCCUAAACGAUGUCUACUAGUUGUCGGGUUUUAAUUAACUUGGUAACGCAGCUAACGCGUGAAGUAGACCGCCUGGGGAGUACGGUCGCAAGAUUAAAACUCAAAUGAAUUGACGG
This 585-nucleotide ribosomal RNA is filed under the name uncultured bacterium. RNAcentral describes it as "bacterial SSU rRNA". It matches the Rfam family "Bacterial small subunit ribosomal RNA", at positions 338 to 916 of the family's 1533-position model. The record is from RNAcentral.